Molecule: ribosomal RNA, 253 nt
Filed under: uncultured bacterium
Lineage: Bacteria
Description: partial 16S ribosomal RNA
Rfam family: Bacterial small subunit ribosomal RNA
Source: RNAcentral
UACAGAGGUCUCAAGCGUUGUUCGGAUUCAUUGGGCGUAAAGGGUGCGUAGGCGGUUUGGCAAGUCUUAUGUGAAAUCUUCGGGCUCAACCCGAAGUCUGCAUAAGAAACUGCCGGGCUUGAGUAUGGGAGAGGUGAGUGGAAUUUCCGGUGUAGCGGUGAAAUGCGUAGAUAUCGGAAGGAACACCUGUGGCGAAAGCGGCUCACUGGACCAUAACUGACGCUGAGGCACGAAAGCUAGGGGAGCAAACAGG